GCCUAUGGAGAGGUCUGGUCAAGACUUUGCUUCUGAGGAAUGAGUUACCCCUUCUGGUGACUAGAUACCUUUUCCCUCACUGAUUCCCAACUGAAGGGGCAGUUUGAGAAGACACCAAGCAGCUGACAAGAUCACCUCACAGCUCCUGGUGCCCUGGGUCUGAUCUGUGCCCAUGGACCAAGACCAGGGCCAUCCAAGCCUGAGUCUCUCAGGGGCCCAUGGCUGCCAAGGCUUAGGUUCCCCAACUCGAGAAAGGAGGAAAAUGGAAUACAAAAAUAGCCAUUAUACAGUGUCAAGAAGCACAAGGUCAAGGAGACCAACCCAUCCUGAUGUGGUUGAUAAGAAUCUGUACAGUGACUAGGAAUAGAAGAACAAAAAGUAUCAAACCAGUCCAGCUUCUCAGAACUGAGAGACUGACUGGUCUUCAGAAGGAACCUUCUGCCUCCUCAAGAUUCCAGCCUCCUGGGACCCCUCCCCUGACCAGAAGAAAGAUUCCACCUGGGCCUCUUCCUUUAGUGCCAGCCUCUGUCACUGUAACUACCAAUCAUUAGUUUUGUUCUUUUUCCCUGUUAUCCCCAAAUUACUGUAAUUUAAAAGUUGAUUACGUUAAAUAAUCAAAUUGGGGAGACUAGCUCACCAAAAUGAUCAUUGGGGGAAUGUAUAAUUGAAAAUCUGCUACCCUAAAAAAGAACUACAUUUCCGGGAGCCCACCAACUUCCUUUCAUUAUGUACUUCCUAUAGACAGAUGAUUAAGACAGUGGGUGUUCCAGGUCUCCCUCUUUGACCUAAAGGGAGCAUGGUGGCAGUCGUAAGAGCAGGGAUUUUAUUUUGGGCUAAUCAGCCAUGGGCAUGUGGUUUUUAUUUUUGUAUUUCUCUUAUUCCUUUACUUCUAAUGAUCAUUAAUAAAUCUCCUAAAAUAUAAUAUUUUUAUUAUUGC
Molecule: long non-coding RNA, 937 nt
Filed under: Monodelphis domestica (gray short-tailed opossum)
Lineage: Eukaryota; Metazoa; Chordata; Mammalia; Didelphimorphia; Didelphidae
Description: lncRNA (ENSMODG00000041847.1)
Source: RNAcentral